GACGACGCUGGCGGCGUGGAUUAGGCAUGCAAAGUCGAACGGUAGGAUACCUUCGGGUAUCUGAGAGUGGCGAACGGGUGAGUAACACGUAGGUGAUCUACCCUCAAGAUUGGGACAACCCAGGGAAACUUGGGCUAAUACCGGAUGAAAGCAGCAGUGAUGUUGUUUGAAAGGUGGCGUAAGCUGCCGUUUGGGGAUGAGCCUGCGCUCUAUUAGUUAGUUGGCGGGGUAAAGGCCCACCAAGGCGAUGAUAGAUAGGCGGCCUUAACGGGUGGUCGCCCACACUGGGAUUGAGAUACGGCCCAGACUCCUACGGGAGGCAGCAGUCGAGAAUAGUCUACAAUGGCCGAAAGGCUGAUAGUGCGACGCCGCGUGAACGAAGAAGCCCUUCGGGGUGUAAAGUUCUUUUAUAUGUGAGCAGUGCUUUCUAUGUGAACAGCAUGGGGAGAGAGAUAUUAGCAUAUGAAUAAGCAACGGCUAACUCCGUG
Molecule: ribosomal RNA, 488 nt
Filed under: uncultured bacterium
Lineage: Bacteria
Description: bacterial SSU rRNA
Rfam family: Bacterial small subunit ribosomal RNA
Source: RNAcentral